This 88-nucleotide transfer RNA is filed under the name Candidatus Aramenus sulfurataquae. RNAcentral describes it as "Sulfolobales archaeon AZ1 tRNA". It matches the Rfam family "tRNA". From Rfam's summary of the family: Transfer RNA (tRNA) molecules are approximately 80 nucleotides in length. Their secondary structure includes four short double-helical elements and three loops (D, anti-codon, and T loops). Further hydrogen bonds mediate the characteristic L-shaped molecular structure. tRNAs have two regions of fundamental functional importance: the anti-codon, which is responsible for specific mRNA codon recognition, and the 3' end, to which the tRNAs corresponding amino acid is attached (by aminoacyl-tRNA synthetases). tRNAs cope with the degeneracy of the genetic code in two manners: having more than one tRNA (with a specific anti-codon) for a particular amino acid; and 'wobble' base-pairing, i.e. permitting non-standard base-pairing at the 3rd anti-codon position. Lineage: Archaea; Thermoproteati; Thermoproteota; Thermoprotei; Sulfolobales; Sulfolobaceae. The record is from Rfam by way of RNAcentral.
GCCGCUGUAGCUCAGCUGGUAGAGCGCCGGCCUCGUAAGGUCUCUUCAAGGGAGCCGGCGGUCGCGGGUUCAAUUCCCGCCAGCGGCU